Molecule: ribosomal RNA, 301 nt
Filed under: uncultured bacterium
Lineage: Bacteria
Description: partial 16S ribosomal RNA
Rfam family: Bacterial small subunit ribosomal RNA
Source: RNAcentral
CAGAGCCGCGGUAAUACAGAGGGUGCGAGCGUUAAUCGGAUUUACUGGGCGUAAAGCGUGCGUAGGCGGCUUUUUAAGUCGGAUGUGAAAUCCCUGAGCUUAACUUAGGAAUUGCAUUCGAUACUGGGAAGCUAGAGUAUGGGAGAGGAUGGUAGAAUUCCAGGUGUAGCGGUGAAAUGCGUAGAGAUCUGGAGGAAUACCGAUGGCGAAGGCAGCCAUCUGGCCUAAUACUGACGCUGAGGUACGAAAGCAUGGGGAGCAAACAGGAUUAGAUACCCCAGUAGUCCCUGUCUCUUAUACA